This is a long non-coding RNA of Portunus trituberculatus (swimming crab), 367 nucleotides long. RefSeq lists it as uncharacterized. The record is from RefSeq and is a predicted model, not a curated record. The transcript has 3 exons. Lineage: Eukaryota; Metazoa; Arthropoda; Malacostraca; Decapoda; Portunidae.
AAAUAGAUAAAUAAAUAAACGAAACAAAAAUGUUAUGGAAAUCUCAACCUGAAAUUGUAUAUACGUAUCGUAUUUUUUAUUAUAAAUUUCAGUAUUAAUCAGACGUUGACACACCUCCAUCUGGUAGUUUCCGCCUGGCAGUGAGUUGAAUAACGUGAGUGGAGGGUACGAGCAGCGAGCAAGGACUGCCUGAUGACUGGGAGAGAACAUGUGAGCCUUCUUCAAAACAUUGCAAGAUCUGGGAGAUUUAGACAUUCUGGAGAGGCCUGAUUCACAAUCCCACUUCUUUUGUGUCCAGCCUUUACAGAGAAGAAACAGGAAGAAAAGAAAGAGCAAAAGAGAUGAUAGAAACAGAAAAAAAGGAAGA